Molecule: non-coding RNA, 45 nt
Filed under: Schistosoma mansoni
Lineage: Eukaryota; Metazoa; Platyhelminthes; Trematoda; Strigeidida; Schistosomatidae
Source: RNAcentral
AUUCGGCUGACGAGUUCCAAAUAGAACGAAACACACGUCCUAGAU